This 354-nucleotide ribosomal RNA is filed under the name uncultured bacterium. RNAcentral describes it as "bacterial SSU rRNA". It matches the Rfam family "Bacterial small subunit ribosomal RNA", at positions 917 to 1271 of the family's 1533-position model. The record is from RNAcentral.
GGGCCCGCACAAGCGGUGGAGCAUGUGGUUUAAUUCGAUGCAACGCGAAGAACCUUACCUACCCUUGACAUCCUCGGAAUCUGCCGGAGACGGCGGAGUGCCUUCGGGAACCGAGUGACAGGUGCUGCAUGGCUGUCGUCAGCUCGUGUUGUGAAAUGUUGGGUUAAGUCCCGUAACGAGCGCAACCCCUGUCCCUAUUUGCCAGCGAUUCGGUCGGGAACUCUAGGGAGACUGCCGGUGACAAACCGGAGGAAGGUGGGGACGACGUCAAGUCAUCAUGGCCCUUACGGGUAGGGCUACACACGUGCUACAAUGGCAGGUACAAAGGGUUGCAAGACGGCGACGUGGAGCUAA